This 406-nucleotide ribosomal RNA is filed under the name uncultured bacterium. RNAcentral's name for it is "partial 16S ribosomal RNA". It matches the Rfam family "Bacterial small subunit ribosomal RNA", at positions 30 to 526 of the family's 1533-position model. The record is from RNAcentral.
AUUGAACGCUGGCGGCAGGCCUAACACAUGCAAGUCGAACGAGUGGCGGACGGGUGAGUAAUGUCUGGGAAACUGCCUGAUGGAGGGGGAUCACUACUGGAAACGGUAGCUAAUACCGCAUACCAUCGGAUGUGCCCAGAUGGGAUUAGCUAGUAGGUGGGGUAACGGCUCACCUAGGCGACGCUCCCUAGCUGGUCUGAGAGGAUGACCAGCCACACGGGAACUGAGACACGGUCCAGACUCCUACGGGAGGCAGAAGUGGGGAAUAUUGCACAAUGGGCGAAAGCCUUAUGCAGCCAUGCCAGGUGUGUGAAGAAGGCCUUCGGGUUGUAAAGGACUUUCAGCGGGGAGGCGGUACCCGCAGAAGAAGCACCGGCUAACUCCGUGCCAGCAGCCGCGGUAAUUC